This 627-nucleotide long non-coding RNA is filed under the name Equus caballus (horse). RNAcentral's name for it is "lncRNA (ENSECAG00000045810.1)". Lineage: Eukaryota; Metazoa; Chordata; Mammalia; Perissodactyla; Equidae. The record is from RNAcentral.
GCUGGGGUUGACAAGAGGCUGCUGGUCUCACCGGGCUGUACUCUUUAAAUUCUUCAUUUCAUCUUUCAUUCUCCAGAUCAGAUCCCCAUCCCUGGGUAGAUGUGCAAGUUUGCAUUUUCUGCCUUCCAACACGAGUCAAGUCGAGGCAUAUACCUGUGUGGAGUCAUUACAGCCAUAUGGAUGUAGGUGUAGCCUGUUUUGGAAGAUCCUGGUGAGAACCCCCAACUCUCCACACUUCCCAUCUCACCAUCAGUUCCUGAAUAUGGAGUCCAGUGGGAAACUCAUGUCUCAUCUUUUUCUCCUUUGAGUAUGUCAGAUACCGUGGAACAAGAAUGAAAACCAUCACCUUCGCCGAUAGCUCUGCAUUGGGUUUGGAGUCACAAAGUCCACACAGGGUCAAACCACUCGUCCUUCAUUGCCUUGGUAGCUGUGGAAUGACAGCCACCUGCUGCCACUGCCCUGCCUUUGGGGUUCAUGUGCUACAAAAGUUGUAGGUCCUUCUGGUUGUGCUACGUGGGACGCCGCCUCAGCAUGGCCUGAUGAGCCGUGCCAUGUCUGUGCCCAGGAUCUGAACUGGCGAAACCCUGGGCCACUGAAGCAGAGCGCAUGAACCUAACCACUUGGCCA